This 335-nucleotide ribosomal RNA is filed under the name uncultured Glomus. RNAcentral describes it as "SSU rRNA". It matches the Rfam family "Eukaryotic small subunit ribosomal RNA", at positions 569 to 909 of the family's 1831-position model. Lineage: Eukaryota; Fungi; Glomeromycota; Glomeromycetes; Glomerales; Glomeraceae. The record is from RNAcentral.
AGCAGCCGCGGUAAUUCCAGCUCCAAUAGCGUAUAUUAAAGUUGCUGCAGUUAAAAAGCUCGUAGUUGAAUUUCGGGACUAAUAUGUCGGCCGUGCCUCGGUACGUACUGGUAUUUUUGGUUUCUCCCUUCUGACGAACCUUGAUGUCAUUAAUUUGGUGUCUUGGGGAAUCAGGACCGUUACUUUGAAAAAAUUAGAGUGUUCAAAGCAGGCUCACGCUUGAAUACAUUAGCACGGAAUAAUGAAAUAGGACGUUUGAUUCUAUUUUGUUGGUUUCUAGGAUUGACGUAAUGAUUAAUAGGGAUAGUUGGGGGCAUUAGUAUUCAAUUGCCAGA